CAUUUGCACACACUGUAUAUAGACUUUAUUUUUUUUCUAUUGUGUUAUUGACUGUACGCUUGUUUAUUCCAUGUGUAACUCUGUGUUGUUGUUUGUGUCGCACUGCUUUGCUUUAUCUUGACCAGGUCGCAGUUGUAAAUGAGAACUUGUUCUCAACUAGCUUACCUGGUUAAAUAAAGGUGACAUAUAUAUAUAUUUUUUAAAUUAAGUUAAAGUUAAAAUAACACUAUUCCCAACAAAAGGGGAAUCAAAGUGGAAUUUAUUUAGCUGAAAAGUUAUGCUGGUGAUGAGGAUGAGAAAAGAAGCAUAGAAUGAGGAAAACCAGGGGUUUGUCUCUCUUCCCUCUCUCCAAACAACUUGCUACUCCAUCCACCAAUUCCACGGUUCAGCCUUAUCUCUCUGAGUCCCUGAGGCCUGUGCUAAGUGGACUGGAGAGAGAAUGUCUCAGUGUGGUGUGGUUUUACAUUAACCAGAUGGAAUGAGAGCUAUGAUGGGGCUCUCAGAAAGGGGAACGGGUGAGAGUAGCCAGCGUGCCUUACUGCAUUUGAUUUGUGUUUCAGCAUUAAUGGAACACUAUUGACUCAUCAAUAUCAACCCAAUGAAGCUAGCAACCUGGCUCAAAGUGAUCCCUGGCUUGAAUGCUGCACUCAAAUGCAGGCCUAAAUGGAUUGCUCUGUGAAUGUGGUCCAAUUCACAUUAGCGUGGGAUAUGAGGAUAACUGUUAGAAAACAACACUGCCCUAUUGUAUAACAGUAAUUGACAUUUCUCAGCAAUAGAGUGAGUUGAAUAUGAAGCCCGUUGCAAAACAGUUCUCAUUGUCUACACUUGAUCUGCGAAUGACACACAAAACAGGUGCACAAGGACAUGCAUGAAGAUCCGAAUCAGAGCAUCCUGUCAUAAUCAUGCCUCGUCUUUGAAUGGAUACUGCAGUACUGGAUUACUACAGCUGUAGUAGACGUCGCCCUGAAUCGUUCUGUUUACCAUGGGGCUGUCGUGGAUUCACGGUUGAAGAGAUCUGCACACACACACACACUCUGUUGUUAAAUAUAGCCUCCCUUGGCUCCUGUUUGCCUGCCGGGGUCUGUCCACUGCUACGCCUGAUGGGAGGUGCCGCGCACGCUGGGAAGAGGGAGAUAAGAGGGAAGGGGAAGCUGGGCGGCCAUGACGCCAUGUUGUCGUACACUCACACUGGCGUUAGUGUCGCCCACGGGGCACUUACAUUGGGCACUUAACAUGGGGCGAAAUGGCUCUCUCUCCAUCCAGUUGUCUACACACUAAGCUACAGCCCAUACUGAUGGGGAGAAAAAACUGUCUAAAGCAGAUCUGGACAUAUUUCUUGAUUUACCAUUGAAGUCAAUAGGAUGCACAUCAAUUCUCAAUAUGUUGAGAUCAACAGGGGAGAUCCUACA
Molecule: non-coding RNA, 1409 nt
Organism: Salmo salar (Atlantic salmon)
Lineage: Eukaryota; Metazoa; Chordata; Actinopteri; Salmoniformes; Salmonidae
Source: RefSeq, a predicted model, not a curated record